AAAGCAAAAAUCCCUAAAACCUAAACUACACUCUGACCUCCUUUCUCUCCCGCUGCCACCUCCCCUUCCCCACUUUUCUAUUUCAUUCUUUAACCAAGGCUAAAUUAAGAAGAUCGAGAAUGACAAAGAAGAGCGAGAGAGAACCCAAUCGCUUCUCUAUUCUCGGGCAGUCGGGCAGAAGAGAUUGGUGGAGUUAGAGCAAUGACAAGUUAAAACCAAGAUAAGGUGCAGUUAAAGACCCGAGGAGGAAUGAAAGAAGAAGACGGUGUCCUAGAAAAAUUGUGCAUCGUGAAUGCUUCGAAAUUUACAAUUAUGUGUAACUUGAAACCUAUUGUGGAAUAUAAAUUCUUUUUAUCCUUA
Long non-coding RNA from Nicotiana tabacum (common tobacco), 360 nucleotides. RefSeq lists it as uncharacterized. Lineage: Eukaryota; Viridiplantae; Streptophyta; Magnoliopsida; Solanales; Solanaceae. The record is from RefSeq and is a predicted model, not a curated record.